This 585-nucleotide ribosomal RNA is filed under the name Cryptococcus sp. M38. RNAcentral describes it as "eukaryotic LSU rRNA". It matches the Rfam family "Eukaryotic large subunit ribosomal RNA", at positions 47 to 621 of the family's 3401-position model. Lineage: Eukaryota; Fungi; Basidiomycota; Tremellomycetes; Tremellales; Cryptococcaceae. The record is from RNAcentral.
UAAGCGGAGGAAAAGAAACUAACAAGGAUUCCCCUAGUAACGGCGAGUGAAGCGGGAAGAGCUCAAAUUUGAAAUCUGGUAGCCUUCGGCUGCCCGAGUUGUAAUCUAGAGAAGUGUUUUCCGUGCCGGCCCAUGUACAAGUCCCUUGGAACAGGGCGUCAUAGAGGGUGAGAAUCCCGUCCUUGACAUGGACCCCCGGUGCUUUGUGAUACACUUUCAACGAGUCGAGUUGUUUGGGAAUGCAGCUCAAAAUGGGUGGUGAAUUCCAUCUAAAGCUAAAUAUUGGCGAGAGACCGAUAGCGAACAAGUACCGUGAGGGAAAGAUGAAAAGCACUUUGGAAAGAGAGUUAAACAGUACGUGAAAUUGUUGAAAGGGAAACGAUUGAAGUCAGUCAUGCUCUUUGGAUUCAGCCGUUCUGCGGUGUAUUUCCAUUGAGUGGGGUCAACAUCAGUUUUGACCGCUGGAUAAAGGCACUAGGAAGGUAGCACUCUCGGGUGAACUUAUAGCCUAGCGUCAUAUACAGUGGUUGGGACUGAGGAACGCAGCAUGCCUUUAUGGCCGGGAUUCGUCCACGUACAUGCUAG